AAACCGCCAAGGGCCACAGCACUGGCAUUCUCAUGGACCACGCUACCACAAACACAGAAAAAAGCAGCACCCACACACACAACCACUGCAACCACAGAUGAGACUGAGAAACUAGCAAUACCACAGGCAUGAUCACCAUUUCGACACGCAAAACCACCCUCUCCAGGGGUACAACAGCCCUCAGUAUGGGCAAAACCACCAUUUCUAGGGGCAAGACUACGAUCACGGUGCACAAAAACUGUUUCACUCGGGGCAAAAAUUCUGUAGCACUGGACAAUAUCACCAUUGCAAGAGGGCAGAAGGACAUCUUUAUUGAGAAGGUUACCAUCACUAGGGGCAAAGAAACUCAAUACCAUCUGUACUGGGAAUACAAUUUGUGAUCAUCUACCAGUAGGCCUGAAAGGUUUGGAUCCUUUACUAUGAUCACAGAGGAAUGUACCAAGCAACAGGUCGUAUGGAAUCUGUCCCUAGCGUUUGAUUGGCUGCCUUUCAGUGUUCAACCAAUGCACCUGCAGAGGUGAAGAAGAUGAGCCCACUGCCCCUCUGAAGGACGUCUCUGCCCUGGUCCCCCGACUGGUUCUGAUGUUUACUUUCAUGCCUGUAAUGAUUGCAAAGCAUCCGCCCCUUCUGCGGUUCCCAGAAUUGUAUGAUAAAUAUUUGUUUCUAUGUAACCAAGCAAACUAUUACCUUGUCAUGUUGAUCUUCUACUAGAAUCUGUAGGCCCUAUAGGGGGUAUAUGUUGUAUUUUGAGAUUUGCAAAGGUAGAGGGUCCAGGUUUGCAUAAGCGGGAGUAACAACAUUAAUCAUAAUUAGCACUAGCUAAUUGGACUUAUUAACCUUCAGCUCAAAGCUUCUAAUCACAUUUCAUGCCUUCAGUGUAUAAAUGAGAAAAAAACAUCAGAUUUUGGGCUCUAAGAAACAUUUGUAUUUUGGAUUUACCCUGAAUGCAUUAAAGGUUUUCAUUUGACCCUGGUCUCAGCUGCCUAAUUUUCCCUCAGAAAGCCUUGCUAUAGGCAGGUUAGCUUGCCCGACAAAGAAGGGCUAUUGUUCCACUGUAGUCCUAAAUUUGCAUUUCUUGAAAAAAAAUAUCACAGCUGGGUAAGUGUUGUGGUUAACCAAAUCAUUUCAUCACUUAACCAAAUACUUUAUCAGCCCACUGUGUGCAAUGAAUAUUAGUGAAUUCUCACCCCCCCCCCCCCCCCCCAUGAAAACGAUAAAGAUUCCACUAGAGGUGGGUGAGGAUGGGGCUGGGUGUGGGGUGGAUUUUGGCAGCCCAGAUACACGGGUGGGUGGGAAAAAAUGCAGAGUGGGGAAUUGUGAAGCUUUGUUGUGUCAAGGGAGUGAAGCCGGCCCCAAGCACUCACUGGUCUGUGGAAUCAAGUGAAGGGCUUCUGUAGAGCAAGUUUAGAGGAGGACUAUAAUACAGUGCCCCAUAGUUUCACUCUUUCGGUUGGAGACCUUGUGUGAGGACUCCUCUGUGUUGCCGAGUGUCAGGCAGUGACUGGUAUCCAGAACUUUGAGUGGAGCUUUUCAACAGUGUACAGAGGAAAACCAACUUGAGAGAAGGACCUAUGCCAGAACUUCCAUUGGAUGGAUCUCUCGGGAAUGCCUGAAAUGAGAAACAAGGCACACAUUCUUUUCCAUUUUAGCAGUAUUCCUCUUAAUGGCUGGAGAAAGAGAGAAGCGGAUAAGAUUCAUUAAGGAGCGGUUAAGGUAUAGAAAGAACACAGAAUGGAGCUGCUUAUGGAAGAGGGUCUGAACUGAGGAGGGCUAAGGGCAAUACUGCAAAACAAGAGCCAUGCCACUGAUCACAACGAACAGAAAGCUAUUGAUUCAGUUAGUGCCAAGGGUGGUUGAAGGUGGGUACCAGUUUGCUCCAAGAUGGCAGCAAAAUUGACAGAAUGACCUGAAAAGAGAAGGGCAGGUGAAAAUGGGUCAGGGUAUGUUGUGGAGUGCUCUGGAGGGGUUGAGCUGUGAAUUGAAGUAUGUUGUGGAGUGCUCUGGAGGGGUUGAGCGGUGGAUGUAAAUAUGUGGUGGAAGGUUUUGGAUUGGAUGGGCUGCAAAUUAAAGUAUGUUGUGGAAUGUUCUGGACUGGUUUGGCCAUAGGAGGGCUAAAGGGAGAUGCUGGUAGGUGGGAGGUGGAGGUGGACAUCUCUGCAGAUGGAGGAGUUUGUGGACUUGCUGCUCUCAUUCCUAUCCCCACUUCUUCUUCAGAGCUGUAAACAUACAUUAAAUGAUGGCGGACACGUAUAUUUAACAAGUUUUGGAAGGUGACAGGGGUAGACUUAACCCAGAACAAUGAACCAUAAAGAGAGUGUAACUUAUCAUUUCAGGGAUUUAAUAGUUGAGGCAGUUUGUCCAAAUUAGGAAACAAGAGUAUAAAGGAGCAAGAUUGUUCCACAAAAACUGAAAGGCAAAAGUGAUGCAAAAAGCAAAAAAUAAAAAUAAAAAAAGCCAGAAUGUGGAUCAAGGAUUUUUCACUUACAGGGAACUUUGCGCUCUGUCCCAGUUUUCAGACUUUUGGUAUCUGAGCAUGUGCAGAAGGUGGGAGGGAAACGGAUGUGGUGAAGCCGAUAAGUAUUUAAAGCAGCCAAUUGUAAAAGGGCGACUAGCCUGAAUGUGAAUACAAGCCCAGGAAACAGAUGUCGAUACCUGCCGGGCAUACGAAUGAUUAGGUGCAGGUGGCAGAGCCCCACCCUUUGAACGCAGCAUGCUAGUUCUGGAGGAAGAGGGGUCCCACUCAGCCAGAUGCGUGCCUCAAGGGCAUGGGUACAUGGUCAUACUGAAGGAAGCCUGGCAACACAGGUUGGGGUUGAUGAACCUGAAGUGAAGUUGAAGUGCACCUGCCAAUCACGGUGUCCCUUAGCCAUGAUAAUGCGCGGUGUUUCUGCCUUGCCACGCCACCCUGGGUGCAGGGCGUGUGCACCUACGCCGACAGGUGCUGAAGGUCAAGCAGCUAUACCCCCUGCUCAUCCUAAACGGGCUAGCAGUGAGGAUGGGGUAGUGACGGCAUACACUCCCCACCUUUCCGCCCAGUGUCCCACUCGGACGUACUCCCAGUGCCAUUGGUCAGAUCUGUUGGAGUAGAUGAUUGGUGGGCUAUCCUCGGGCUCCGGCUCUAGGACUGGUUCUUAGGUUGACUGGGAAUGACCAGGAACAAGGUCAAAUAUCAACUUCUGUCUAACCAUGCACACCGUUAGCUUGUUGGGUUGGUCCUCUAAUGCAUGGGUCACCAACCCUGUUCCUGGAGAUCUACAGCCCUACAAAGAGCACCUCAUUCAACAGCUUCAGAUCUCAUCGAGCUGCUAAUUAUUAGAAUCAGGAGUGCCAAAUUAAGGUUGAAGUGAAAACUUUCAGGACGGUAGAUCUCCAGGAACGGGGUUGGUGGCCCCUGCUCUAAUGGAACCUUUCGGUGGGAAGGAGGCUCUGGACACUUGUGAAGGGGGCAGACCCAGAGUAACUCAAGCAGGUAGAGGAGCGAAUCUCACUUGGAGCUGGUACUAACCCCAAUUAACUGCAGUAGCGGAUUCCUCCCCCUUCAGCUUGCCAUUUCUAACAGUUCUGCUUGCCCUGACGAUGUACAAACAGUGGCUUCUGCUCAGGGAGGGGAACCCAAAUGUUUAGAGUCUGGAAAUGGUGCUUUGUAUGUUGGAUUUCCUGACUGUAUUAAAGUUUGGAUUUCA
Long non-coding RNA from Conger conger (European conger), 3683 nucleotides. RefSeq lists it as uncharacterized. The transcript is spliced from 2 exons. The record is from RefSeq and is a predicted model, not a curated record. NCBI's taxonomy places the organism in Eukaryota, Metazoa, Chordata, Actinopteri, Anguilliformes, Congridae.